AUUGAACGCUGGCGGCAUGCCUUACACAUGCAAGUCGAACGGCAGCAUAGCAGCUUGCUCCUGAUGGCGAGUGGCGAACGGGUGAGUAAUAUAUCGGAACGUGCCCUAGAGUGGGGGAUAACUAGUCGAAAGAUUAGCUAAUACCGCAUACGAUCUAAGGAUGAAAGUGGGGGAUCGCAAGACCUCAUGCUCGCGGAGCGGCCGAUAUCUGAUUAGCUAGUUGGUGGGGUAAAAGCUCACCAAGGCGACGAUCAGUAGCUGGUCUGAGAGGACGACCAGCCACACUGGGACUGAGACACGGCCUAGACUCCUACGGGAGGCAGCAGUGGGGAAUUUUGGACAAUGGGGGCAACCCUGAUCCAGCAAUGCCGCGUGAGUGAAGAAGGCCUUCGGGUUGUAAAGCUCUUUUGUCAGGGAAGAAACGGUGAGAGCUAAUAUCUCUUGCUAAUGACGGUACCUGAAGAAUAAGCACCGGCUAACUACGUGCCAGCCGCCGCAGUAA
This 502-nucleotide ribosomal RNA is filed under the name uncultured bacterium. RNAcentral describes it as "partial 16S ribosomal RNA". It matches the Rfam family "Bacterial small subunit ribosomal RNA", at positions 30 to 523 of the family's 1533-position model. The record is from RNAcentral.